This 250-nucleotide ribosomal RNA is filed under the name uncultured Chryseobacterium sp. Its description in RNAcentral is "partial 16S ribosomal RNA". It matches the Rfam family "Bacterial small subunit ribosomal RNA", at positions 524 to 773 of the family's 1533-position model. The record is from RNAcentral. Lineage: Bacteria; Pseudomonadati; Bacteroidota; Flavobacteriia; Flavobacteriales; Weeksellaceae.
UACGGAGGGUGCAAGCGUUAUCCGGAUUUAUUGGGUUUAAAGGGUCCGUAGGCGGAUGUGUAAGUCAGUGGUGAAAUCUCAUAGCUCAACUAUGAAACUGCCAUUGAUACUGCAUGUCUUGAGUAAGGUAGAAGUGGCUGGAAUAAGUAGUGUAGCGGUGAAAUGCAUAGAUAUUACUUAGAACACCAAUUGCGAAGGCAGGUCACUAUGUCUUAACUGACGCUGAUGGACGAAAGCGUGGGGAGCGAAC